AGACCUCAGGUCAGGCGGGGCUACC
Molecule: ribosomal RNA, 25 nt
Filed under: Spatholobus sp. XY-2015
Lineage: Eukaryota; Viridiplantae; Streptophyta; Magnoliopsida; Fabales; Fabaceae
Description: partial 28S ribosomal RNA
Source: RNAcentral